Molecule: non-coding RNA, 92 nt
Organism: Mycena metata
Lineage: Eukaryota; Fungi; Basidiomycota; Agaricomycetes; Agaricales; Mycenaceae
Source: the annotation of a GenBank genome assembly
GCGGUUGUGGGCCAUGGUGGUCGCCCUCUCUCCACAACCUCUCAACGGAAUUUCGUCAGAGGGAGGCGGAGGUUUGAUUCCUCCCAGUCGCA